AAACUCACCAGGUCCAGACAUGACUAGGAUUGACAGAUUGAUAGCUCUUUCAUGAUUUUAUGGGUGGUGGUGCAUGGCCGUUCUUAGUUGGUGGAGUGAUUUGUCUGGUUAAUUCCGAUAACGAACGAGACCUUAACCUGCUUAAUAGUCAGGCCGGCUUUUGCUGGUCGCCGACUUCUUAGAGGGACUGUCUGCGUCUAGCAGACGGAAGUUUGAGGCAAUAACAGGUCUGUGAUGCCCUUAGAUGUUCUGGGCCGCACGCGCGCUACACAAACCCACAACCUCUGUACUAUAUGCUCAAAUGGACAAGUCCUUAUCUACUGUACAAUUAGAUUAGAU
RNAcentral lists this non-coding RNA (339 nucleotides) under Postia placenta Mad-698-R. Its description in RNAcentral is "Eukaryotic small subunit ribosomal RNA". The stretch from base 1 to 269 matches the Rfam family "Eukaryotic small subunit ribosomal RNA", at positions 1211 to 1501 of the family's 1831-position model. Lineage: Eukaryota; Fungi; Basidiomycota; Agaricomycetes; Polyporales; Adustoporiaceae. The record is from Rfam by way of RNAcentral.